Molecule: ribosomal RNA, 329 nt
Filed under: uncultured eukaryote
Lineage: Eukaryota
Description: partial 18S ribosomal RNA
Rfam family: Eukaryotic small subunit ribosomal RNA
Source: RNAcentral
CCCUUAGAUGUUCUGGGCUGCACGCGCGCUACACUGAUGCACUCAACGAGUUUACGACCUUGCCUGGAAGGGUUGGGUAAUCUUUUUAACAUGCAUCGUGAUGGGGAUAGAUUAUUGCAAUUAUUAAUCUUCAACGAGGAAUUCCUAGUAAGCGCGAGUCAUCAGCUCGUGCUGAUUACGUCCCUGCCCUUUGUACACACCGCCCGUCGCUCCUACCGAUUGAAUGGUCCGGUGAAGCGUUCGGACCGUGGCCUUUGGACGGUUCGCCGUCUGUUGGCUGCGGGAAGUUCGUUAAACCUUAUCAUUUAGAGGAAGGAGAAGUCGUAACA